This 228-nucleotide ribosomal RNA is filed under the name Triticum aestivum (bread wheat). Its description in RNAcentral is "partial small subunit ribosomal RNA". Lineage: Eukaryota; Viridiplantae; Streptophyta; Magnoliopsida; Poales; Poaceae. The record is from RNAcentral.
AUGUGUGUGCCUAAGGAGAAAGGCGGUACAGGAUUAUGAGAUAUACACGGUUUUAGUUUAGCUAUGUUGGCAAGACAAUGCUGGAGACUUAUUGAAAACCAUGGAUCAUUAUGUGCAAGAGUAUUGAGAGCUAAGUAUUACCCCUCAUGAGAUAUAUUAAAUUAUGAAUUGAAGAAGGGGUCAUCCUAUGUUUGGCAAAGUAUUUGGGCUUGGUGUCCAAACUUAUAA